CUCUCUGAUGUUAAAACCUGAAUUAGAAUUAUUUAUGUAUAUAUAUUUCUUAGAAGUAAUGUUAUCCCAGUGGAGGAUGCCCAUAUCUAGAUAUCUAAAUACCGUUCCCCACUAAAAGGAGAUCGAAUUUCUUGGAAAAAUAGUUGAUUUUGGAUCUCAGGCCCAGAAUGUAAAGAGUACAAAGGUGAGCCUGGAACAUCGUGCUAGAAAUCAAGGAAAUGCCCGAAAACUAAUAGGAUCAAGUCAAAAGCUUACAGACCCAGCUUGAGGGAACUCCACUGGCCAAUUGUGAGUCACUUUUGCUGCUAAAAAGAAUAAUGACUGAUAGAUUAUCAAAGCAUUGAGUACAUUUUUAAAAUCCGUAAGUCCAGAGUGAUUCUCAAAAUCAAGGGUGGGGGAAGGGACUUUUUUUUUAAUAGAAGAAUGCCGGCCAAUAAAUGUAGAUGGAAUGGUAGAAUUGGAAAAAUCACCAUGUGCAGUCACCAAUGAUUCGGGCGAAGAUCAUCAAUAGAAGCUAAAACCCAUCUUAUAAAAGGAGGCAGGGCAAAGGAGGAUGUUUGCACAGUGUCAGAGUAUCACCCCGCAGAUGACUUGAUUAUGAACAAGAAAAAUAUACCUUACAAUGAAGAAAUCCAGCAGUCACCAACUUAACUUAGUGAUCACGCUUAGCACUACUAAUGGUGGAACAACCUGGCUUUAUAGGCCUCUUGAUUUGAUGCAACAUGAUGUAACAGUAUCACCUAUGAAGGAACCUUGCCAAAAGUGCUUAACCUGAAUAUAAUCAAGCCUUUUGACCCAACUUCCAGUUUACAGGAAAUGCACGGAGAGAGGAACAACUACAAUGAUCCUGGGAGGAGAAUCAGACAAAUCCAGAAUGUGGGACAUUCUAUAAGAAAACUGGCCUAAAUUCUUCAACAGGGAGUUGAAAGUGAUUUUUCCACUUUGUGUGCAGGUAGACUGAAGUAGAGCCAAUUAACCUGACAGUCAAUGGAAGAAUAAAACUCAUGUACCUGGGACAAGAAAGUGACUACAAUUUAUAGAUCUAAUAUGGGACUGUUGGUCUUGUGGUUUAUGAAGAGAAAAGUAAAGUAUUGGACAUGGAGCCAUGUUUAUUUACUCUCUUUUGCUGUGACUUGUAAAGUGCCCUGGGUUAAGGCACUUUACUUUUUUGGGUCACAUCUGGAAAAAAAAACAUGAGGAUAAGAUAUUUUGCUGUAUCCUCAUAAGACAAACAAACUGAUGUAAAUAUAAUAGCUACUUCUGACAGUUUGUGAGCCUGGAUUAACUGGUCAUGGGUUUUUUUUUGGUUGUCAUUGAUGUUGUGUUUUGUCUUACUCAAUUCUUCCUUUGCAUCAUUCUCAGAUCUCUAUUUUAUGACCAAAGGAAUACAUGUCAACAUGCUUGACUGGCAGGGGCAACAGCACACUGGACCUGGGUCUGUAGUUCUAGUGUGGCUUCUGCCUCUCACUAGCUGUGAGAGUUUCAG
Molecule: long non-coding RNA, 1486 nt
Filed under: Equus caballus (horse)
Lineage: Eukaryota; Metazoa; Chordata; Mammalia; Perissodactyla; Equidae
Description: lncRNA (ENSECAG00000044859.1)
Source: RNAcentral